Arabidopsis thaliana (thale cress) is the source of this 544-nucleotide long non-coding RNA. RefSeq annotates it as other RNA. The record is from RefSeq. The transcript has a single exon. Lineage: Eukaryota; Viridiplantae; Streptophyta; Magnoliopsida; Brassicales; Brassicaceae.
AUAUAGACCUCCUUGGUAUUUGCGUAUCCUCUCAUCUAUAUCGCCAGUGGCUCCGUGGCCUUCAAAUCAAUUCUCAAAUUUUGUAUAUAUAUAUACUAAGAUUAAGAUUUGACUAUUGUUAUAACCAUUGGUGUUUCUCCAGAAUUUGUACAGCAACAUGCCCACUAACUCAUUGGUAAGCUGGCACUUCGUUUUCGCUCUAAAUUUGAUUUGCUGAGUUCUAAAGCCUUUUGGAUCAUGAUGUUAUUGUUAUGGUUGUUUUACUUCUUUUGCGGGUUCGAUCUCUCAUCGAAGUUUGGGUCUAUUCUCUUUGCUCUUCCUCUUCUAACUAAAAAAACAUAACGUUACCAUCGACUAGGGUUUUUGGUGAUUUUUCGUUUUUCUCAUGAUUAAGAUUGGUUUUGAGGUUUUUCCCUUUUCAAUUAGGAUUUCUAGUAAUGAUAUAUUGUAAGGCUUUAAGUUGGAUUGUUCCUUGUCUGUAUAUAAAGUCCCUUUAUGAUCAAUAAGAAAUCAAACAAUUAACCCUAACUCUCUCUAAGAGCGA